AUACGGAGGGGGCUAGCGUUGUUCGGAAUUACUGGGCGUAAAGCGCGCGUAGGCGGAUUGGAAAGUUGGGGGUGAAAUCCCGGGGCUCAACCUCGGAACUGCCUUCAAAACUCCCAGUCUUGAGUUCGAGAGAGGUGAGUGAAAUUCCGAGUGUAGAGGUGAAAUUCGUAGAUAUUCGGAGGAACACCAGUGGCGAAGGCGGCUCACUGGCUCGAUACUGACGCUGAGGUGCGAAAGCGUGGGGAGC
RNAcentral lists this ribosomal RNA (247 nucleotides) under uncultured bacterium. RNAcentral's name for it is "partial 16S ribosomal RNA". It matches the Rfam family "Bacterial small subunit ribosomal RNA", at positions 523 to 769 of the family's 1533-position model. The record is from RNAcentral.